RNAcentral lists this ribosomal RNA (464 nucleotides) under uncultured bacterium. Its description in RNAcentral is "partial 16S ribosomal RNA". It matches the Rfam family "Bacterial small subunit ribosomal RNA", at positions 28 to 507 of the family's 1533-position model. The record is from RNAcentral.
GACGAACGCUGGCGGCGUGCUUAACACAUGCAAGUCGAACGGUAAGGCCCUUUCGGGGGUACACGAGUGGCGAACGGGUGAGUAACACGUGGGUGAUCUGCCCUGCACUUUGGGAUAAGCCUGGGAAACUGGGUCUAAUACCGGAUAGGACUACGCGAUGCAUGUCGUGUGGUGGAAAGCUUUUGCGGUGUGGGAUGGGCCCGCGGCCUAUCAGCUUGUUGGUGGGGUGAUGGCCUACCAAGGCGACGACAGGUAGCCGGCCUGAGAGGGUGUCCGGCCACACUGGGACUGAGAUACGGCCCAGACUCCUACGGGAGGCAGCAGUGGGGAAUAUUGCACAAUGGGCGCAAGCCUGAUGCAGCGACGCCGCGUGGGGGAUGACGGCCUUCGGGUUGUAAACCCCUUUCAGCACAGACGAAGCGUAAGUGACGGUAUGUGCAGAAGAAGCACCGGCCAACUACGUG